UGAAUAAUUCAUAAUUUAGGUGUACUUUGUACUUAAUAGAGAAAUCGGUAUAAGCCGAUGCGGUCCCGCCGCUGUAAGGACGAGCUAUAUUUCAUUUAUGUCACUGGGAAACUGGGAAGGCGAAAUUAUGCAAUGACUCCAAGCCAGAAGAACUGCCUAUAUUAUCUUUCCGAU
Non-coding RNA from Megamonas hypermegale ART12/1, 174 nucleotides. The record is from Rfam. NCBI's taxonomy places the organism in Bacteria, Bacillati, Bacillota, Negativicutes, Selenomonadales, Selenomonadaceae.